RNAcentral lists this ribosomal RNA (750 nucleotides) under uncultured Burkholderia sp. RNAcentral describes it as "bacterial SSU rRNA". It matches the Rfam family "Bacterial small subunit ribosomal RNA", at positions 61 to 804 of the family's 1533-position model. The record is from RNAcentral. Lineage: Bacteria; Pseudomonadati; Pseudomonadota; Betaproteobacteria; Burkholderiales; Burkholderiaceae.
GUCGAACGGCAGCACGGGUGCUUGCACCUGGUGGCGAGUGGCGAACGGGUGAGUAAUACAUCGGAACAUGUCCAGUAGUGGGGGAUAGCCCGGCGAAAGCCGGAUUAAUACCGCAUACGAUCUUUGGAUGAAAGCGGGGGAUCGCAAGACCUCGCGCUAUUGGGGUGGCCGAUGGCGGAUUAGCUAGUUGGUGGGGUAAAGGCUCACCAAGGCGACGAUCCGUAGCUGGUCUGAGAGGACGACCAGCCACACUGGGACUGAGACACGGCCCAGACUCCUACGGGAGGCAGCAGUGGGGAAUUUUGGACAAUGGGCGAAAGCCUGAUCCAGCAAUGCCGCGUGUGUGAAGAAGGCCUUCGGGUUGUAAAGCACUUUUGUCCGGAAAGAAAUCCUUUUCGAUAAUACCGGAAGGGGGUGACGGUACCGGAAGAAUAAGCACCGGCUAACUACGUGCCAGCAGCCGCGGUAAUACGUAGGGUGCGAGCGUUAAUCGGAAUUACUGGGCGUAAAGCGUGCGCAGGCGGUGAUGUAAGACCGAUGUGAAAUCCCCGGGCUUAACCUGGGAACUGCAUUGGUGACUGCAUCGCUGGAGUAUGGCAGAGGGGGGUAGAAUUCCACGUGUAGCAGUGAAAUGCGUAGAGAUGUGGAGGAAUACCGAUGGCGAAGGCAGCCCCCUGGGCCAAUACUGACGCUCAUGCACGAAAGCGUGGGGGGCAAACAGGAUUAGAUACCCUGGUAGUCCACGCCCUA